GGAUUAGAUACCCUGGUAGUCCACGCCGUAAACGAUGAGAACUAGCCGUUGGAUCUUUAGAUUCAGUGGCGCAGCUAACGCAUUAAGUUCUCCGCCUGGGGAGUACGGCCGCAAGGCUAAAACUCAAAUGAAUUGACAGGGGCCCGCACAAGCGGUGGAGCAUGUGGUUUAAUUCGAUGCAACGCGAAGAACCUUACCAACCCUUGACAUCCAGUGGAAGUUUUAGAGAUAAAACUGUGCCUUUGGGAACACUGUGACAGGUGUUGCAUGGCUGUCGUCAGCUCGUGCCG
Molecule: ribosomal RNA, 290 nt
Filed under: uncultured bacterium
Lineage: Bacteria
Description: partial 16S ribosomal RNA
Rfam family: Bacterial small subunit ribosomal RNA
Source: RNAcentral